RNAcentral lists this long non-coding RNA (1419 nucleotides) under Pan troglodytes (chimpanzee). Its description in RNAcentral is "long non-coding RNA NONPTRT001578". Lineage: Eukaryota; Metazoa; Chordata; Mammalia; Primates; Hominidae. The record is from RNAcentral.
GAAUUGUGUCACUCCCAUUGAGCAGGUGUGGGGGCCUCUCCCACAUGGUCCAGGUCCACCACUCUGUCAAAGGUCGCACAGCCCAGACAAAAACAGCACACAGCAGUGUGUGAAUGAGCCGGGCUUUCUCCUUCCCUCCACGUAAUAAAAGGUGCCUGAGGUUGUUGAAACACAGUCCAUUUCUCCUGGGAAUGACAAGAAUUUGAGGGAUGCUGACUUUCAAGGAAUACUGCAUGACAGGCAUCAAGAUAAACCUGAUGAAGAAAACAUAGGCCAGAAUCUCGGAAUCGGGAGCAAAGUAAUACAGCUUCGGGGACAGGCACGUAAUGAGGUCAUGAUGUAGCAGACUCCCUGCAGGACUGGCGGCCCCUGUUCCCUGGGCUGUUCUGGCUCUUUCAGGACUGCACAGUGUAUCUGAGAGAGGAUUUUCAGGAGGCCAGAAAAUCAAGCUGGAGGGAUUCUCAGCGUGUUGGGCGAUUGCUACCUGUUUUGAGUCAGACCAUUGCCACGUCCUUUUCCCCACCUUGGAGACUUCAGCCAGACUAAUCUUCCUUAGAAAUUACUUUCAUCUGUCUCCUUGCUCAAGCAUUUCCGAAAGCUCAGUGCACUGCACUACGUCAGCCUCUGUGUCCUCCAGGAUCUGAUCCUGCUAUUCUGGAGAACAAACUCCUCCCACCAUCCAAGUGCCCCUCAGCUGUUUUCCUUCACUAAUAUUUCCAAAACACACGACAACAGUUGGCAUCGCUCGCAUAUAAACAGCUCUUCCAUGUCACUGAGAAAACGAGCAAGAUCCAGGGAGGAAAAAUGGAUACAGGAUAUAAAUAGAAAAUCCUCAAAACAGGAAUUUCAAAAUGUCAACAAACAGGCAAAACUUUCUUUCAACAGCACUAUUAUGACUGAGAAAUAGACCUAGAACACAGCCUCAGAUAAUUCUCACGGUGGGAGGUUUCAAAGAUGAUGAAAAACAUCAUGAUACCAGACACAACACCUCAAGGAAGAAGGCACAGUGAGUGAGACACAGCAGACACGACUGACUGCAGAACCAAUCCUGCACACUCUUAGACACUGGAAUUGUCUAAGAGAUUGAGCAUUCACCAAGAAUCCAGAGAGAAGCUUAGUCAGAAGGAAUAAAAAACAACACUGGGAGGUGGCACUCCAAAUUAUUUCCCAAAUGCAAUCUAACAGGAAGUGGAAUAAUUCCCAUAAAUGGAGUUGAGAUCCAGUGUUUUCCAAAGGUCUGGUGAGGACAAGCCUGGUUACUCAGCAGGCAACAGAGGCAUCACUUGAGGCCAUUGCAGCCCAGCUUUGGAAGCCUGGAUGAAUGUGUCAGUCCAGAAGCUGCCGCCAGAAGUCACACCCAGAGGGGCAGCUUAGAAGAACACAUGGCAAGAAAAGCUGCUUUUAAAAACUGGAGGCACG